Molecule: ribosomal RNA, 901 nt
Filed under: Scolecobasidium humicola
Lineage: Eukaryota; Fungi; Ascomycota; Dothideomycetes; Venturiales; Sympoventuriaceae
Description: eukaryotic LSU rRNA
Rfam family: Eukaryotic large subunit ribosomal RNA (bases 266-901)
Source: RNAcentral
AUCAGUGAGUCAUCGAAUCUUUGAACGCACAUUGCGCCUCUCGGUAUUCCGGGAGGCACGCCUGUUCGAGCGCCAUUACAAACUCCAAGCGUGGCUUGAUGUUGGGCGAUGUCUCUUUGCGAGAGCGGGAGACACGCCUGGAACGCGUUGGCGCCGCCGCCGGACCACGAGCGUAGCAAGACGAGAGUCAAUCGCAUCGAUUUGGUUUCCGACGGAGGUCCGCCUUGGGAGUGGAUUUGAUAUCCUUCCUACAAGUUAUCAAGUUUGGCCUCGGAUCAGGCGGGGAUACCCGCUGAACUUAAGCAUAUCAAUAAGCGGAGGAAAAGAAACCAACCGGGAUUGCCCUAGUAACGGCGAGUGAAGCGGCAAUAGCUCAAAUUUGAAAUCUGGAGCCUUUGGCUUCCGAGUUGUAAUUUGCAGAGGGAGCCUCGGAGGGCGAGACGGUCCAAGUGCCUUGGAACAGGAUACCGCAGAGGGUGAGAGUCCCGUAUCCGGCCGAUCUUGCGCUCCGUGUGAGGCCCCUUCGACGAGUCGAGUUGUUUGGGAAUGCAGCUCCAAGCGGGUGGUAAAUUCCAUCUAAAGCUAAAUACUGGCCAGAGACCGAUAGCGAACAAGUAGAGUGAUCGAAAGAUGAAAAGCACUUUGAAAAGAGAGUCAAACAGUACGUGAAAUUGUUGAAAGGGAAGCGCAUGGGGGCAGACUUGGACGCGGGGUUCAGCGUUUCGAUUGGAGCGUGUACUUCCCCGCGUGCAGGCCAGCAUCGGUUCCGGGGGCCGGACAAAGACGGUGGGAAUGUGGCUCCCCUCGGGGAGUGUUAUAGCCCGGCGUGCAAUGCGGCCACCUGGGACCGAGGACCGCGCCUUGUGCAAGGAUGCUGGCGUAAUGGCCUCAUGCGGCCCGU